UUCAGCAAAUAUAUAUAUACUGAUACUAAGUCGAGUGAAUAACUAAAAUAAAAAUACGUUGGUGCAGUGUGGUUAUCCUACGGUCACCAAGGUUUUAAACUUGUAAAAUCUUGAUACAAGAUAUGUUAUAUUUAUCAGUGUAGUGUGUAACUAGCAUUAUUCACAUGUCAUCAAAUUAACUAAUUAGUACUAGUAGCCUGGGAGUGUACCGUGACAUUUCAGCUUAGGCUAAGUGGCUCUUUCUCUCUCCUAGUACUAUUACCCAUUCUGAACCGAACCAACACACACACUAGUACUAGUGCAGCCAGAACACAAGUAGUACACGCAUGCCCUCCUCUGUUUCUUCUACACCUUGCCCAGAUCGAGCAGCACGCCAGCGACGGGAAAGAUGCUGCUCCGCCGCUGCCGGAUCCUCAAAUCUCUCUCUCUCUCUCUCUCUCUCUCUCUCUCUCUCUCUCUCUCUGAUGUAAAUCCCCAUAUGUCCCCCAUGGAUUCAUCCCUAACCCUCAAAUCCUCCUCUGAUUUUGGCUUGCAGGUGAGGCUCUCGUUGGGAUGUGAUUCCGCUGCUCCAGAUCGAAGUCGCCGGCUUGGGCGCCGCCGUGAUGCUGGAUGGUGCAGGUCAGAGCUCCAGUGCGUGGCCAUGGAGCAGAUCGAACAUAUGUGCAGAUAGAAAGAUGAAGAAAGUGGGAGGAAGACAAGCUGCAGGUUUGGCUAUUUGGGGAAGAAUGGAGAUGUGUGAAGUCUUGGCAAUGGCUUGCUCUGCUCUCUCUCCUUUUAAUAUCAGAAAACCAUCUUCCUUGGCUGGUAUGGCUUCCCAUCCCCUUCUCCAUUGUUCUCACAGGUGCUAGCUUGUAAUUGGCUGAAGGUUGAAGCCCAUACAUAGACUAUAAUGUUGAACAAUUGACUAUUAAUCUAUUGUGCACGUGAGAGUGGUGGUUAGUGUGUCUCAAAUGUGUCAUGUUGUCCUAGUUGACUCAAAGAUAUUUUGUGUUGGUCUAAGUUUGGUCUGGCAUUGUUGUAUAGGUUAACAUAGUUUGGUCUUCCUAUAUUUUUUUUUCAAAGAUUUGUAGUACACCUGUACAACUGUACUGUUUGAGGUGUAUGGAUAUAAAUAUAUAUAUUUGAGUGGUUAUGCUUGUUGAA
Aegilops tauschii subsp. strangulata is the source of this 1143-nucleotide long non-coding RNA. RefSeq lists it as uncharacterized. The record is from RefSeq and is a predicted model, not a curated record. NCBI's taxonomy places the organism in Eukaryota, Viridiplantae, Streptophyta, Magnoliopsida, Poales, Poaceae.